This 464-nucleotide ribosomal RNA is filed under the name uncultured bacterium. Its description in RNAcentral is "partial 16S ribosomal RNA". It matches the Rfam family "Bacterial small subunit ribosomal RNA", at positions 338 to 795 of the family's 1533-position model. The record is from RNAcentral.
CCUACGGGAGGCAGCAGUAGGGAAUUUUCGUCAAUGGGCGCAAGCCUGAACGAGCAAUGCCGCGUGAACGAGGAAGGUCUUCGGAUCGUAAAGUUCUGUUGAAGGGGAAAAAGAGCGGAGAGAGGAAAUGGUCUCCGAUUGAUAUUACCCUUCGAGGAAGUCACGGCUAACUACGUGCCAGCAGCCGCGGUAAUACGUAGGUGGUGAGCGUUAUCCGGAAUGAUUGGGCGUAAAGGGUGCGUAGGCGGCCUGCUAAGUCUGGAGUGAAAGGUACCGGCUCAACCGGUACAGGCUCUGGAAACUGGCGGGCUAGAGAGCAGGAGAGGGCGGUGGAACUCCAUGGGUAGCGGUAAAAUGCGUAGAUAUAUGGAAGAACACCAGUGGCGAAGGCGGCCGCCUGGCCUGUUACUGACGCUGAGGCACGAAAGCGUGGGGAGCAAAUAGGAUUAGAUACCCCGGUAGUC